GCAUUUGGACCAAAUCCAACCAUCACCUUUCCCAUCCUGAAGAAAUUCACUCUUGUAAGCAUCAGUUUGCUGAUUUCCAUAUGAUUCCUGAAGAUCAGCUGCCUCAACCUGAAUCUCUACCCAAUUGUAAUCCACUGCCGUGUUCUAAACAACUUGAAGACAGUCACAUCAGAGACAUCAAACCAAUACAUCAAGAUCAUCAUUUAUAGAAAUCAUCAUAUUCAUCACUCGAUGUUACUUACUUUGAUAGGAUCCUUCUAACCUUCCAUUUCCAAAAAGAUAAGCCAUGGAUGAUUCAGCUUGUUGCUGUUACUUGCAUUUCUUUAGAUGAAGGACCUUCACCCAUUGAUAGCCGGCAUCUAAACAGACCUCAAACCUGCAGCA
Molecule: long non-coding RNA, 384 nt
Filed under: Lathyrus oleraceus (garden pea)
Lineage: Eukaryota; Viridiplantae; Streptophyta; Magnoliopsida; Fabales; Fabaceae
Description: Pisum sativum (pea) long non-coding RNA (PSAT_LNC042019)
Source: RNAcentral